This 554-nucleotide long non-coding RNA is filed under the name Bos taurus (domestic cattle). RNAcentral's name for it is "long non-coding RNA NONBTAT000524". Lineage: Eukaryota; Metazoa; Chordata; Mammalia; Artiodactyla; Bovidae. The record is from RNAcentral.
AGGAAAAUUUCCUAUUCUUAGUUGUAUUCAAAAUGUUGUUUCUAACCUAUCAUUUUCAGCAAUGUAUUAUAAUAUUACAUAAAUAUUAAUAUAUAUUCCCAGAUAUUUGUUAUCAAAAAUAUGGAGGAAAAUUCCACACAUAAAUGUCCCAACUCCUUGCCCUACCCCAGAUGAAUUUUGGACAUGAGAAAGUUUCUUUCCAACAGUGGGAUGUCAUGUUGUGCUUGAUGAAUUUUAACAUUUGCAUCCCUUGGUGCUCAUAUUUGUGAAGAAUAUUAAAGACUUAUGACUUCUUUUUCCUUUUAGCUGCACAUGGCUCAAUCUAAUAAAUUUUAAAUACAGAAUCAAUAUGGUUAUAAUCCCAAUCAUACCACAUUUAAAAAGCAAUGUUCUAGACUGUGUUUCUCUGCCAGCAUGACUCCACAAAGAAAGCAAAACCAAACAAAACUUUCCUUAAAACAGAGUAAAAUGUGACUUGCAAAAACUGUUUUAAAAAGUGGUUUCAACAGUGAAGAACAACCAAUUUCGCAAACACCAUGGUAGCCGUUUCAAGC